Molecule: ribosomal RNA, 678 nt
Filed under: Russula emetica
Lineage: Eukaryota; Fungi; Basidiomycota; Agaricomycetes; Russulales; Russulaceae
Also listed under: 1 other name
Description: partial 28S ribosomal RNA
Rfam family: Eukaryotic large subunit ribosomal RNA
Source: RNAcentral
UUGACCUCAAAUCGGGUGAGACUACCCGCUGAACUUAAGCAUAUCAAUAAGCGGAGGAAAAGAAACUAACAAGGAUUCCCCUAGUAACUGCGAGUGAAGCGGGAAAAGCUCAAAUUUAAAAUCUGGUGGCCUCUGGUCAUCCGAGUUGUAAUUUAGAGAAGCGUCUUCCGCGCUGGACCGUGCACAAGUCUCCUGGAAUGGAGCGUCAUAGAGGGUGAGAAUCCCGUCUUUGGCACGGAUCCCGGGGCUUUUGUGAUGCGCUCUCGAAGAGUCGAGUUGUUUGGGAAUGCAGCUCAAAAUGGGUGGUGAACUCCAUCUAAAGCUAAAUAUUGGCGAGAGACCGAUAGCGAACAAGUACCGUGAGGGAAAGAUGAAAAGCACUUUGGAAAGAGAGUGAAACAGUACGUGAAAUUGUUGAAAGGGAAACGCUUGAAGUCAGUCGCGUCGUCCGAGACUCAGCCUCGCCUCGGCUUGGUGUACUUCUCGACCGACGGGUCAGCAUCAAUUUCGCCCCUUGGAUAAUGGCGUGGGAAAUGUGGCACCUUUGCGGGUGCGUUAUAGUCCCUCGUCGCAUGCAAGGGUCGGGAUUGAGGAACUCAGCACGCGCCUUUCGGCGUCGGGGCUUUUGCCCACGAUACGUGCUUAGGAUGUUGGCGUAAUGGCUUUAAACGACCCGUC